CCUACGGGUGGCUGCAGUGGGGAAUAUUGGGCAAUGGGCGCAAGCCUGACCCAGCAACGCCGCGUGAAGGAAGAAGGCUUUCGGGUUGUAAACUUCUUUUGCCGGGGAGCAACCGGCGCCACGUGUGGCGUCACUGAGAGUACCCGGAGAAAAAGCAUCGGCUAACUCCGUGCCAGCAGCCGCGGUAAUACGGAGGAUGCGAGCGUUAUCCGGAUUUAUUGGGUUUAAAGGGUGCGUAGGCGGAUCGUUAAGUCAGUGGUCAAAUUGAGGGGCUCAACCCCUUCCCGCCAUUGAAACUGGCGUUCUUGAGUGGAAGAGAAGUAUGCGGAAUGCGUGGUGUAGCGGUGAAAUGCAUAGAUAUCACGCAGAACCCCGAUUGCGAAGGCAGCAUGCCGGCGUCCGACUGACGCUGAAGCACGAAAGCGUGGGGAUCGAACAGGAUUAGAUACCCCAGUAGUC
Molecule: ribosomal RNA, 459 nt
Filed under: uncultured bacterium
Lineage: Bacteria
Description: partial 16S ribosomal RNA
Rfam family: Bacterial small subunit ribosomal RNA
Source: RNAcentral